RNAcentral lists this small nuclear RNA (153 nucleotides) under Suricata suricatta (meerkat). RNAcentral's name for it is "U1 spliceosomal RNA (ENSSSUG00005009228.1)". It matches the Rfam family "U1 spliceosomal RNA". From Rfam's summary of the family: U1 is a small nuclear RNA (snRNA) component of the spliceosome (involved in pre-mRNA splicing). Its 5' end forms complementary base pairs with the 5' splice junction, thus defining the 5' donor site of an intron. There are significant differences in sequence and secondary structure between metazoan and yeast U1 snRNAs, the latter being much longer (568 nucleotides as compared to 164 nucleotides in human). Lineage: Eukaryota; Metazoa; Chordata; Mammalia; Carnivora; Herpestidae. The record is from RNAcentral.
AUAUAUACCAGGCAGGGGAGAUGAAGGUGGUUUUCCAAAAACAAGGCUUAUCCAUCGCACUCUCCAUGGGCUGACCCCUGCGCUUUCCCCAAAUGUGGGAAACGCGACCGCAUCCUGUGUGGUAGUGGGGGACUGAGUUCACAUUUUUUCCUG